GGCGGCGUGCUUAACACAUGCAAGUCGAACGGAAAGGCCCUGCUUUGUGGGGUGCUCGAGUGGCGAACGGGUGAGUAACACGUGAGUAACCUGCCCUUGACUUUGGGAUAACUUCAGGAAACUGGGGCUAAUACCGGAUAGGAGCUCCUGCUGCAUGGUGGGGGUUGGAAAGUUUCGGCGGUUGGGGAUGGACUCGCGGCUUAUCAGCUUGUUGGUGGGGUAGUGGCUUACCAAGGCUUUGACGGGUAGCCGGCCUGAGAGGGUGACCGGCCACAUUGGGACUGAGAUACGGCCCAGACUCCUACGGGAGGCAGCAGUGGGGAAUAUUGCACAAUGGGCGGAAGCCUGAUGCAGCAACGCCGCGUGCGGGAUGACGGCCUUCGGGUUGUAAACCGCUUUCGCCUGUGACGAAGCGUGAGUGACGGUAAUGGGUAAAGAAGCACCGGCUAACUACGUG
RNAcentral lists this ribosomal RNA (457 nucleotides) under uncultured bacterium. Its description in RNAcentral is "bacterial SSU rRNA". It matches the Rfam family "Bacterial small subunit ribosomal RNA", at positions 38 to 507 of the family's 1533-position model. The record is from RNAcentral.